AUCGACAGGGGUGCUUUUGGCUGAGACGGAUCCUUAGAUCCGAACCCUUAUACCUGAUACGGAUAAUACUGGCGUAGGAAGUCUUCUUAAC
RNAcentral lists this non-coding RNA (91 nucleotides) under bovine gut metagenome. The record is from RNAcentral.